AUACUUAAUCUGGCAGGGGAAAUAAACCAUGAUCAUGAAGGUGGUUUUCCCAGGGCGAGGCUCAUCCAUUGCACUCUGGAUGUGCUGACUCCUGCGAUUUUCCCAAAUGUGGGAAACUUGACUGCAUCAUUUGCGGGGGGGUAGGAGCUGCGUUCGUGCUCUCUCCUG
Molecule: small nuclear RNA, 168 nt
Filed under: Carlito syrichta (Philippine tarsier)
Lineage: Eukaryota; Metazoa; Chordata; Mammalia; Primates; Tarsiidae
Description: U1 spliceosomal RNA (ENSTSYG00000023478.2)
Rfam family: U1 spliceosomal RNA
About the family: U1 is a small nuclear RNA (snRNA) component of the spliceosome (involved in pre-mRNA splicing). Its 5' end forms complementary base pairs with the 5' splice junction, thus defining the 5' donor site of an intron.
Source: Rfam by way of RNAcentral